GAUGAACGCUGGCUGUGUGCCUAAUACAUGCAUGUCGAGCGGAAGUAGCAAUACUUUAGCGGCGAAUGGGUGAGUAACACGUGCUUAAUCUACCUCUUAGAUUGGAAUACCUAAUGGAAACAUUGGUUAAUGCCGGAUAUGCAUGGAGUCGCAUGACUCCGUUGUGAAAGGGGCCUUUAAAGCUCCACUAAGAGAUGAGGGUGCGGAACAUUAGCUAGUUGGUGAGGUAAUGGCCCACCAAGGCUAUGAUGUUUAGCCGGGUCGAGAGACUGAACGGCCACAUUGGGACUGAGAUACGGCCCAAACUCCUACGGGAGGCAGCAGUAGGGAAUAUUCCACAAUGAGCGAAAGCUUGAUGGAGCGACACAGCGUGCACGAUGAAGGUCUUAUGGAUUGUAAAGUGCUGUUGCAAGGGAAGAAAAAGUAGUUGAGGAAAUGCUUCUACAUUGACGGUACCUUGUUAGAAAGCGAUGGCUAACUAUGUGCCAGCAGCCGCGGUAAUACAUAGGUCGCAAGCGUUAUCCGGAAUUAUUGGGCGUAAAGCGUUCGUAGGCUGUUUAUUAAGUCUGGAGUCAAAUCCCAGGGCUCAACCCUGGCUCGCUUUGGAUACUGGUAAACUAGAGUUGGAUAGAGGUAAGCGGAAUUCCAUGUGAAGCGGUGAAAUGCGUAGAUAUAUGGAAGAACACCAAAGGCGAAGGCAGCUUACUGGGUUUAUACUGACGCUGAGGAACGAAAGCGUGGGGAGCAAACAGG
RNAcentral lists this ribosomal RNA (753 nucleotides) under uncultured Mycoplasma sp. RNAcentral describes it as "bacterial SSU rRNA". It matches the Rfam family "Bacterial small subunit ribosomal RNA", at positions 28 to 776 of the family's 1533-position model. The record is from RNAcentral. Lineage: Bacteria; Bacillati; Mycoplasmatota; Mollicutes; Mycoplasmatales; Mycoplasmataceae.